CUACCAUGGCGGUAAUGUACUUAAUAAGAGGAUAAAUAUUAACUUGGGUGUGGAAUGAGGGUUUCAUUGGGGGAAUCGUGCAAAGGAAUAAGAUUUUAUUUUUUAAAACCCGUUUGUGGCUGUAAUCUGAAAACAAAUGUGAAGACAAAAAUGUGCAUUACCAUAUGUCUGACAUUAUAUGAAGGUAAGCUGCAAUGUUUAGCAGUUGCAGUACAAGGUAAGUAAGAUUCUGCUUUCCUUUUCACAUCAGGCAGUGAGGAGGACUUAACUUGCUCCACAAAUUAAUACAGCUAUGUAUUUGAACAGAGGAACUUACUUUCUCAAGCACCUAUUUUCUGAAUGCUCACAACAUUCCUAGUGAUGUCUCAUAAUAACCAGCCAGAAUGGUAAAGACUGAAGUCUAGGAGACAAUAGCAACUGGUCAGAGUUUAACUAACCCUAGUAGCUCAGCAGUGGACCUCACAUAUGUGAAAACAGUAAAAACUUUCAAGUAAUGCAGAAAGCAAUCUUCCUUCAUUAUAUCUCAUUAACCUCAGAUUUCACACCUUCCCAGGAAACCUUUACAAGUACAAAAGUAUGGAAAGUUCAGAUGCAACUGCUGUAAGCCUACCAGAGGCUGCCAUGACUGAGUCUGCCAUAAUUAAAAUAUGGUCCCAGUCCCACUCACCUUCUGCACCUAGUAUUAGCCGAACAGUCCUCCUCACCGCAUUCAUGAAGUCAUUUAGGUUAACUCUGCCAUCCUCUGGAAAACAAAAAGGGAAAUGAUCUGUUCUGCUUCUUCGUUCAGGAACUCAGCCAGUCAAGGAAGCAGAACAGCCACAACCAUUAGUUAAGCCACAAGAGGGCACAUUAGCAAUUGAACAGAAUACGCAGAAGUGAUAAAAUCCAACUUCAGGCAGGCAUGAAAGCCUGUGCACAAAACAGAUGCUACAAGUUUCUAGGUAAGCUAUAGAUUAAGAUAUUGUAUUAUGAGAAAAGAUCAGCAUUAAAAUACCAUACCACACAAAUAAAAAUUCAUUAAAAAUUAAAAUGUUAAAAAGUCAUUAAAACAACAGUACAACUAAAACAGCAUAGUAAACUUUUUAAGGCCUUUUAAUUAAAAGACUAUUGUAAAUGGCAACCUACCAAGCCACACACUAUUUGUUUGUUAAGGUAUAUAUUUGGUAACCUGUAUUCUAUGUGCAUGUUGAUUUGCCAGUUUAUUUGACUCUUUGGCGUGGGAGGAGUUAUAGACAUGUGAUUAUACUGAGCAUGUGCAGACUCAAGACUCCAUUUUGUGUUCAGUAUCUGUUUAGACUUCAAUGGGAGCAGAUGUCUUCCAUCAGAACUCAGAGGAGGUGAAUGCAUACAAGUUGGUGUUUGGACUUCAGUGGAGAAGUCAGUUUAGAGACUUCAAUAUUUCCUUAUGGACUUCACUUUUGUGGCAUUUUGAAGUGCUGAAGAACAUGAAUUGUGAGAAGAAAAAGGAGGCUGCGAUAUGAUUCCUUCUGAUGAAGCUAUUCCUCUGAGACAGGCAAGGAUUGGCACAAAUCUGAAAACAAAACUCUGAAUACCUCUAAGAUGGUUAAAAGACAACCAGGUUGCUACAGUUCCCUCCCAUUCAUUCUCCUGCUUAAAGAUUAGUGACCAUGUUGGAAUUAUUUAAUUCAAACCUUACCAUCAAUAGAAACUAAUGACAGAGUUGCCUGAAGUUCUUCAGGGGAGAGUUGGAUCCCCAAGCUUUCCAGAAUGAGUGCAGGUCCUGGAACUCCAUGUUAUUCAAAUUCACUCCCAGUUUCUUCAGGAUGGACCACAAUUCAUGGUCUUUGACACUGUCUCCAGCAAGCAUGUGGAUGACAUCGAAAGCAUCCUGUAAAGCUAGAAAAAAGAGAUUCCACUUUGCUGCAAACUACAAAUCUUAUGCAAACAAGUCACAAGUAUGGUUUUCUUGAAACAAGAAGAAGUUGGUUUUAAGAGGGGAGAAGAAGAGGGAGGGUAGAGAUGCUUAACUUUUUAGCCACCAGCCAUUUUUGUACUUUGAAUUACUCUCCCCCACCCCUCAAUUGCUUCCUCACAAUAAAGUUUCCUUUUCA
Long non-coding RNA from Anolis carolinensis (green anole), 2072 nucleotides. RefSeq lists it as uncharacterized. The record is from RefSeq and is a predicted model, not a curated record. The transcript is spliced from 5 exons. Lineage: Eukaryota; Metazoa; Chordata; Lepidosauria; Squamata; Anolidae.